GAUGAACGCUGGCGGCGUGCUUAACACAUGCAGGUCGAACGAGAAAUGGAGACGGAAACCUUCGGGCGGAAGGCUUCAUUUCGAGUGGCGGACGGGUGAGUAACGCGUGGGUAACCUGCCUCAUACAGGGGGAUAACAGUUGGAAACGACUGUUAAUACUGCAUAAGACCACAGCACCGCAUGGUGCGGGGGUAAAAACUCCGGUGGUAUGAGAUGGACCCGCGUUCGAUUAGCCAGUUGGCGGGGUAACGGCCCACCAAAGCGACGAUCGAUAGCCGAUCUGAGAGGAUGACCGGCCACAUUGGGACUGAGACACGGCCCAAACUCCUACGGGAGGCAGCAGUGGGGAAUAUUGCACAAUGGGGGAAACCCUGAUGCAGCGACGCCGCGUGAGUGAAGAAGUACUUCGGUAUGUAAAGCUCUAUCAGCAGGGAAGAAAAUGACGGUACCUGAGUAAGAAGCCCCGGCUAACUACGUG
RNAcentral lists this ribosomal RNA (478 nucleotides) under uncultured bacterium. RNAcentral describes it as "partial 16S ribosomal RNA". It matches the Rfam family "Bacterial small subunit ribosomal RNA", at positions 28 to 507 of the family's 1533-position model. The record is from RNAcentral.